CGCUGGCGGCAGGCUCCAACACAUGCAAGUCGAACGGGCACCCGGGUGUCAGUGGCAGACGGGUGAGUACACGUGGGAACGUACCCUUCGGUUCGGAAUAACUCAGGGAAACUUGAGCUAAUACCGGAUACGCCCUUUUGGGGAGGUUUACUGCCGAAGGAUCGGCCCGCGUCUGAUUAGCUUGUUGGUGGGGUAACGGCCUACCAAGGCGACGAUCAGUAGCUGGUCUGAGAGGAUGAUCAGCCACACUGGGACUGAGACACGGCCCAGACUCCUACGGGAGGCAGCAGUGGGGAAUAUUGGACAAUGGGCGCAAGCCUGAUCCAGCCAUGCCGCGUGAGUGAUGAAGGCCUUAGGGUCCUAAAGCUCUUUUGUCCGGGACGAUAAUGACGGUACCGGAAGAAUAAGCCCCGGCUAACUUCGUGCCAGCAGCCGCGAGUAAUACGAACGGGGCUAGCGUUGCUCGGAAUCACUGGGCGUAAAGGGCGCGUAGGCGGCCGAUUAAGUCGGGGGUGAAAGGGCCUGUGGCUCAACCACAGAAUUGCCUUCGAUUGGUUGGCUUGAGACCGGAAGAGGACAGCGGAACUGCGAGUGUAGAG
Molecule: ribosomal RNA, 599 nt
Filed under: uncultured Methylobacterium sp.
Lineage: Bacteria; Pseudomonadati; Pseudomonadota; Alphaproteobacteria; Hyphomicrobiales; Methylobacteriaceae
Description: bacterial SSU rRNA
Rfam family: Bacterial small subunit ribosomal RNA
Source: RNAcentral